RNAcentral lists this ribosomal RNA (394 nucleotides) under uncultured Anaeromyxobacter sp. RNAcentral describes it as "bacterial SSU rRNA". It matches the Rfam family "Bacterial small subunit ribosomal RNA", at positions 67 to 447 of the family's 1533-position model. Lineage: Bacteria; Pseudomonadati; Myxococcota; Myxococcia; Myxococcales; Anaeromyxobacteraceae. The record is from RNAcentral.
CGAGAAAGCCCGCAAGGGUGAGUAAAGCGGCGCACGGGUGCGUAACACGUGGGUAAUCUGCCCUAGAGUCCGGAAUAACUCGCCGAAAGGCGUGCCAAUGCCGGAUGAGACCACGGGAGCCUCGGCUCCUGCGGGAAAAGGUGGCCUCUGUAUACAAGCUAUCGCUCUAGGAUGAGCCCGCGGCCCAUCAGCUCGUUGGCGGGGUAAUGGCCCACCAAGGCUACGACGGGUAGCUGGUCUGAGAGGACGAUCAGCCACACUGGAACUGAGACACGGUCCAGACUCCUACGGGAGGCAGCAGUGGGGAAUCUUGCGCAAUGGGCGAAAGCCUGACGCAGCAACGCCGCGUGUGUGAUGAAGGUCUUCGGAUCGUAAAGCACUGUCGCGAGGGACG